AUGAACCCACCGAUUUGGGUGCUCGAGGACAUGGACAGUUGGAUGCGCGCAUUUUUCUGGGGCGGCAAAGAUCAAGCGCAUGGUGGUCAAUGCCUUGUGGCAUGGAAUGCCAUUUGCAAACCACUGAGUUAUGGAGGGUUAGGAGUGAAGAAUCUGGGGUUGCAAGCUCUCGCACUGAGGGUGAGUUGGGAGUGGUUGAGGCGCACGGACGAUCAGAGGCCGUGGCAGGGCCUCCAGCUUAUGGUGGAGGAGGAAGCAAGGUUGGUGUUCGAUAGCAUGGUCAAGAUCAAAGUUGGCAAGGGUGAUAAGGUUCUAUUCUGGAGAGACAGAUGGAUUCAUGGAUUUGCAGUACACAACAUUGCUCCUACACUAGCCGGUGGCGUAGACACCAGAACGAGGAACGCAAGGACGGUUGAACAGGCGCUGAUCGGAGAGAGAUGGGUCCAUGAUAUUUUACCACAAACCUCCCUAGGCGCCUUGCUGCAAACUGUGCAUCUUAGGCACACAAUUGCCACAGUGCAAAGAGAUGAGUUGGCGAACGACAAGUUCACAUGGCCCCAUGACCAAUGCGGAGAAUACACAGCAGAAUCCACCUAUAAGCAACUUUGUCAAGGUGGGACUCGUGCCCCGAUGGCCACUGCGAUCUGGCGAAGGCACCUCUCAAAUGUAAGAUUUUCACUUGGUUGGCCGGGCAGCAUCGGUUGUGGACCUCGGACAAACGUGCACGUCAUGCUCUCUAGGAUGAGACUUCGGAGAGCUACACAUGCUUGCAGGAGGAGGAUACUGUAG
This 789-nucleotide ribosomal RNA is filed under the name Triticum aestivum (bread wheat). RNAcentral's name for it is "partial small subunit ribosomal RNA". Lineage: Eukaryota; Viridiplantae; Streptophyta; Magnoliopsida; Poales; Poaceae. The record is from RNAcentral.